This 502-nucleotide ribosomal RNA is filed under the name uncultured bacterium. Its description in RNAcentral is "bacterial SSU rRNA". It matches the Rfam family "Archaeal small subunit ribosomal RNA", at positions 728 to 1231 of the family's 1478-position model. The record is from RNAcentral.
AUUAGAUACCCGGGUAGUCCUAGCUGUAACAUUGCCCAUUGAUGGUGCUUUCCCGUUGAGGGAAGGCAGUGUCGGAGCGAAGGUGUUAAAUGGGCCGCUUGGGAAGUAUGGUCGCAAGACUGAAACUUAAAGGAAUUUGGCGGGGGAGCACCGCAACGGGAGGAAUGUGCGGUUUAAUUGGAUUCAACGCCGGAAAACUCACCGGGAAUGACCUGUGCAUGAGAGUCAACUUGACGAGCUUACUCGAUAGCAGGAGAGGUGGUGCAUGGCCGUCGUCAGCUCGUACCGUAGGGCGUUCACUUAAGUGUGAUAACGAGCGAGACCCACAUCUUUAAUUGCAAAUGUAUAUGGGAAUAUGCAUGCACUUUAGAGAAACCGCCAGCGCUAAGCUGGAGGAAGGAGUGGUCGACGGCAGGUCAGUACGCCCCGAAUUUCCCGGGCUACACGCGCAUUACAAAGAACGGGACAAUACGUUGCAACCUCGAAAGAGGGAGCCAAUCGC